RNAcentral lists this ribosomal RNA (1411 nucleotides) under Aphanizomenon flos-aquae. Its description in RNAcentral is "bacterial SSU rRNA". It matches the Rfam family "Bacterial small subunit ribosomal RNA". The record is from RNAcentral. Lineage: Bacteria; Bacillati; Cyanobacteriota; Cyanophyceae; Nostocales; Aphanizomenonaceae.
GAUGAACGCUGGCGGUAUGCUUAACACAUGCAAGUCGAACGGUCUUUUAGGAGACAGUGGCGGACGGGUGAGUAACGCGUAAGAAUCUACCUUCAGGUUGGGGACAACCACUGGAAACGGUGGCUAAUACCGAAUGUGCCGAGAGGUGAAAGGCUUGCUGCCUGAAGAAGAGCUUGCGUCUGAUUAGCUAGUUGGUAGUGUAAGAGACUACCAAGGCGACGAUCAGUAGCUGGUCUGAGAGGAUGAUCAGCCACACUGGGACUGAGACACGGCCCAGACUCCUACGGGAGGCAGCAGUGGGGAAUUUUCCGCAAUGGGCGAAAGCCUGACGGAGCAAUACCGCGUGAGGGAGGAAGGCUCUUGGGUUGUAAACCUCUUUUCUCAGGGAAGAACAGAAUGACGGUACCUGAGGAAUAAGCAUCGGCUAACUCCGUGCCAGCAGCCGCGGUAAUACGGAGGAUGCAAGCGUUAUCCGGAAUGAUUGGGCGUAAAGGGUCCGCAGGUGGCAUUGUAAGUCUGCUGUUAAAGAGUUUGGCUCAACCAAAUAAGAGCAGUGGAAACUACAAAGCUAGAGUGUGGUCGGGGCAGAGGGAAUUCCUGGUGUAGCGGUGAAAUGCGUAGAUAUCAGGAAGAACACCAGUGGCGAAGGCGCUCUGCUAGGCCGAGACUGACACUGAGGGACGAAAGCUAGGGGAGCGAAUGGGAUUAGAUACCCCAGUAGUCCUAGCCGUAAACGAUGGAUACUAGGCGUAGCUCGUAUCGACCCGAGCUGUGCCGGAGCUAACGCGUUAAGUAUCCCGCCUGGGGAGUACGCAGGCAACUGUGAAACUCAAAGGAAUUGACGGGGGCCCGCACAAGCGGUGGAGUAUGUGGUUUAAUUCGAUGCAACGCGAAGAACCUUACCAAGGCUUGACAUGUCACGAAUCCUAUUGAAAGAUGGGAGUGCCUUCGGGAGCGUGAACACAGGUGGUGCAUGGCUGUCGUCAGCUCGUGUCGUGAGAUGUUGGGUUAAGUCCCGCAACGAGCGCAACCCUCGUUUUUAGUUGCCAGCAUUAAGAUGGGCACUCUAGAGAGACUGCCGGUGACAAACCGGAGGAAGGUGGGGAUGACGUCAAGUCAGCAUGCCCCUUACGUCUUGGGCUACACACGUACUACAAUGCUCCGGACAAAGGGCAGCUACACAGCGAUGUGAUGCGAAUCUCAUAAACCGGAGCUCAGUUCAGAUCGAAGGCUGCAACUCGCCUUCGUGAAGGAGGAAUCGCUAGUAAUUGCAGGUCAGCAUACUGCAGUGAAUUCGUUCCCGGGCCUUGUACACACCGCCCGUCACACCAUGGAAGUUGGUCACGCCCGAAGUCGUUACCCCAACCUAUUGGAGGGGGAUGCCUAAGGUAGGACUGAUGACUGGGGUGAA